Molecule: long non-coding RNA, 3199 nt
Filed under: Homo sapiens (human)
Lineage: Eukaryota; Metazoa; Chordata; Mammalia; Primates; Hominidae
Description: HSALNT0387147
Source: RNAcentral
AGGUCUUCUCCUGCUGCGAAGGGAAGAAGGAAGCUAGCUGGGGCCUUUCUGCUGAGCCUUUUAGACAAUAGCACAUGAUGCUGCCUGGAGUUAAAGGAGGCCAGGAGCACCAGAAGCUGGAGGAGGCCGGGGUGGAUUCUCGCCUGGAGGCUUCAGUGGGAGCACGAGCUCCCGACACUUCGGUUCCAUCUCUUGUUUAAAGGCACCCAGUUUCUCAUCAUUUGUUACAGCACCAUGGAAAACCCACACACAAGUGAAGCCCCGACCCACCUCCCAAGUGCCCAUCUGAGCACCCCUCGUGGACUCUGAGCAGGGGGUUGCCAUCACCAACUCCAAGUCUUGCAGCCCCUCUUCCCUUCAGUCUGGCUGCCACCUUCUUCAUUGCCCUGGAAAAAAAUAAUGAAGUUUCACCAUUUAAAGGGUUUCAGUGCAGCUUGCUAUGGGAACACUGGAGAGUAACACAAAUGGCCAAUUGUCCUAAUAGCCACCAUGGAUUGGAUGGAUGCUAACAACAGGCUCACAGUUCUCCUUCUGUUGCCUCCUUUUAUCCACAUGAGAAUCAAACAAGACUACUGAUUAAAUGAAGCCUUUGAUGAAGUGCAUGCAGUUUGUAGCUUGAUUCAUGGGAAUACUCAUCACAGACUGAAAGUGUAACCCAGGGUCUCUGGGUUUUUGGGAACGCGCUGUGUAAAAGUAUCUACUUGUAACUGUUACUCCCUGAGUUGUUGUUGUUUUAGAAAGUUCCAAGAAGAAGCUUAGCCUUGGAAAAAACAAAAACUGGUUGAAUCCAGAAGUGGAGAUGAAUUUUGGCCAACGCUCCUCACUGCCACACUAAAAACCCUGCUCAGAGAGGAGCUUAUUCACCAUGUUCUAUUCAUGCAAUGUGUGUGGAAACAUGAUCUACGACAGCAUGCGUGCUGCCUUCACCCUACCUCUACAUACAAUGACUCAUUUAACCUGCUGAAUAAAAGCCCUGUUUUCACCUUUGCUGGGGGAGGUGCCGCUUUGGGAACUAUUCGCAGUGUCCUCUUCACUUUUUGCAAGUAAUAGAAUACCCUUGUUAAAUCCUACUUGGUUGUGGUCAUUAUAGUGUCACCCGCCAAGCAAUCGAUCCCACCCAGGGUUAACAAAUGCGGGAUAACAAAUGUCAGGUUUUAGGCAAGUUACUUACUCGCUCAAAAUAUGAAGAUAUAAGUUACCAUCAGUUGUCAAUCAUGGUGAGCUUUGCUCUGCUGCAGUAACAGACAAUCGUAACUCUUAGUAGCUCUAAAUGACCAGUUUAAAUAACACCUCGUCUUUGUAGUUUUGAUAGCGACAGGAGGCAGCCAAAUGCCUAGGCAGGUAGGGGCAGGUUCCCCGUGAAACUCCAUCUCCAAGCCGAAGACAGUUUAGAGCCUGAAAGCCAAGCUCCACAUUAAAUCCUCCGACUGGAUUGAGAACUUGUCUUCCUGUUUAGUGUGCUUUUCUCUCAUUGGUCCCUGCCAUUCACCUAUUUCAUAUACACCUAACCUUUUCUAAUUGGUUUUCUAUACUGUCAUGCCCAACUUUGAGUGGUCUUUGCUUUAACCUUUUCUACAUAUUCACAAACCGAUCAGCAUGCACCCCCCAUUCUGAGUCCAUGAAAGGCUCUGGAUCUAGCCACACAGAGGAACUUUCCCAUCUUCAGGUAGGGGGGCCACCACCAACAUGUCCCCUCUCCACCAAAAGCUGUUUUCAUUGUUCAAUAAAAUUCUUCUCUGCCUUCCUCACCCUUCAAUGUCCAGCAUAUCCUCAUUCUUCUUGGGCAUGGUACAAGAGCACAGGAACCACUGAAGGUGGGUACAAGUUAUAAUACAGGCAAGUGGGGGCAUGCCAGCUUUGGCUGAGUGAGGACCAGGUCGAGCAUUACUGUCAGGGGAUCCCUGGCUUGCAAAGUGACCAAGAAGAAAAGUCUUACAUUAGUUUGGCUAGGGUGAGGCCCUGACCUCUGUUACCUUCACUCGGCCAGCUCACUGAUGGUGACUCUGUAUUGAUAGGCACUCCACCCAGAAAUUGUGCACUGACAUUUCCUGGCCAACGAAAGUUACUCAACUAUGCCUGAUUUUAAACUGCAAUCCUAACAUGACCCAGAAGGUGAAGAGCCAGAAAUAUUUGAUGACUACACUGAGCCCACUUUCCCUCACAGGCUUGUUUUGCAGGGUUAAUGAUUUAAGCCAUGUGAUGUAUGGUUCACAGGGUGCCUGGCACCUGCCAAGUAUUCUUCCCCCAGGAGUUGGCAGGUCCUUGAAGGCACUCUCUGGUUUAGAUAUUCUUAGCUCCUUCCACUGUUCCUCAUGCUACAUUAUCUUAAAUCUUUUUAUUUUUACCAUCCUGGUUCGUCUCCUCUAAAAAUCCUACCCAAAUGUCCCUGUUAAUUCAUGAUCCACCAGAAACAAACAAUCUUCCAGCUGAAUACAGAACCCAAGAGAACAAAAUGAUCUCCUUCCUUCUUCUAGAUUAUGCAUCCUAAAAUCUGACUGUUUUUUCUUUUCUGGCAAUCAGAGUGCACUGUUGAAUUUACUGUCAAUUAAACAUUCUCCAUCUCUUCUAUGUAUUUUUCUGUAUUUAGACAUUUUUCUCCAAUCCCAUACUUGUGUCAUUAGCUUUUCAGUCACAAAUAAAAGAAGUUUCACAUUGUUCCUUAUUAAAGAGCAUCUGUUUGACUUGGCCCAUUCUUCCCAGCAGUUAUAAUUCAGACCAAGGUUGUUCUCAUCCAACAUUCAAACAAACACUAUGGAAUGGGAGAGGUAUGAAAGCAUUCAUCCCGACAAACAAUGGUCUCACCAUUUUGGAAGGCAUCUUUUUUACUUCAUUUUUUAACAGCUGUAUUAAUAUGUAACUGAGGUACAAUAAACUGAAUACAUUUAAAGGGUACAAUUUUUAUAAGUGUGGACCUUUGAAUACACCCAUGGAACCAUGACCAAAAUUAAGACCAUGAACAUAUCUGUCACUCCCAGAAGUUUCCUUGUGUUCCUUUCUAAUCCUCCCUUCUUGCCUAGGAGACAUUUUUUGUUAUUUAUAUAUUAUUUUUUUUAAGGACUCUUUCUCUGUCUCCCAGGCUGGAGUGCAGUGGCGUGACUUUGGCUCACUGCAAACUCUGCGUCCUGGGUUCAAGCGAUUCUCCUGCCUCAGCCUCCUGAGUAGCUGGGACUACAAUUGCGUGCCACCACACCCAGCUAAU